GAGGGUAUACCUCAGCGGUAGAGUGUGUGCUUAGCAUGCAUGAGGUCCUGGGUUUAAUUCCCAAUACUUACA
Molecule: transfer RNA, 72 nt
Filed under: Camelus bactrianus (Bactrian camel)
Lineage: Eukaryota; Metazoa; Chordata; Mammalia; Artiodactyla; Camelidae
Also listed under: 2 other names
Rfam family: tRNA
About the family: Transfer RNA (tRNA) molecules are approximately 80 nucleotides in length. Their secondary structure includes four short double-helical elements and three loops (D, anti-codon, and T loops).
Source: Rfam by way of RNAcentral